This 200-nucleotide unclassified non-coding RNA is filed under the name Russula sp. Its description in RNAcentral is "partial internal transcribed spacer 2". The record is from RNAcentral. Lineage: Eukaryota; Fungi; Basidiomycota; Agaricomycetes; Russulales; Russulaceae.
UUAAGUUCAGCGGGUAGUCUCACCCGAUUUGAGGUCAAGGUUCGUGGGUCGAGCGAGCUCGAACAAUGUCUUCCAUGAGACGGUUAGAAGCGGGUUCCCAAGGAACAGAGCAAAUCCCAAGACGUAGAAACAUCUUAUCACGCCUGGGGAUCAGCAAAGGGGACCCCACUAAUGCAUUCAAGAGGAGCUGGCUUUUCGCA